AUGAGAGCACUAGGCACUGUGAGAUAUGCCCACUACAAUGAGCCACAAGAACUGCAUCAGGUAGUGCUUGCCUCGUCUGACAGCACUGUGAACUGGAGUCAAUUCAGAAGUGUAAGAAUGAGAUUCUAACAACGUCAGGGCCUUGAUAGAAGAGAAUUAAGAACUGCACUGCUGGCUAGAGUCUUUUCAAAAAUCAAGAGAUCGUAUUUUUCGACAGUUCUCCAGUGAACUUGUGAUGCUGGAUUCUGGUGAUUAUCCUCAAUGCCUGUGCUUUUACCAAGGAACUGUGGUGAAACAUGGAAGAAUGUCUUCCUCAAAUCCUGUCUCUGUGUCUGAGCUGACUGCCUAAACACUUGCUAUUUUCCACAGUUCUCACUUGCAGAACCUGACAAAAUUCAUUCUUUCUCCUGUGUUUUUUUUGUUUUUUUUUUUUUAAUUUUUUGGAAGGGGGGACAAAGUCAAUCUGCUCUCCACUAUAAAUAGCUGCAUAUGGUAAUAAUAGCUCUGGUAAGCAGCCAGGUGAAUACCAAACCUUCCUUCAGAUGCCCCAGCCUUUACUGAUGUGAAGGUUUGCAUGCAGCACCAUCUGUCAGGGGUGUUCAUUUAUCAUUAACCAACUGGGGAGACAACAUGAGCUCAAAUGCCACCGGGAGAGAGACAGUAUCUCUUAUUUAAAUGCUAUGCAUUUGUUUCAAGGAAAAUUUGUAAGCAGA
This 713-nucleotide long non-coding RNA is filed under the name Phasianus colchicus (ring-necked pheasant). RNAcentral describes it as "lncRNA (ENSPCLG00000002865.1)". Lineage: Eukaryota; Metazoa; Chordata; Aves; Galliformes; Phasianidae. The record is from RNAcentral.